GGAUGUGAGAGCGAUCUGGCUGCUACAUUUGUCACCCCAUUGACCACCAGGGUUGAUUCAGCUGAUCUGGCUGGCUCUCACUGCUCCAUGUGCGACCCUCCCGAAGCUGUGUGCUCUAUCAAAGAGGACGACCUUCCCCGAUAGAGGAGAAGACUGUUCUUGGGUCAAGCGAGUACCUGCGCUCCCCUGCUAGAACCUCCAAACAAGAUCUCAAAAGUAGAUGUCCUUUAGCAAAGAGAAAGUAUGAAUGUAGCCCGUUAUGUUCUGGAGAUGAUAUUAUACUCC
This 285-nucleotide small nuclear RNA is filed under the name Pteropus alecto (black flying fox). Its description in RNAcentral is "7SK RNA". It matches the Rfam family "7SK RNA". From Rfam's summary of the family: 7SK was discovered as an abundant small nuclear RNA in the mid-70s but a possible function has only recently been suggested. Two independent studies have found that 7SK RNA binds the CDK9/cyclin T complex (known as elongation factor P-TEFb). Lineage: Eukaryota; Metazoa; Chordata; Mammalia; Chiroptera; Pteropodidae. The record is from Rfam by way of RNAcentral.